Molecule: ribosomal RNA, 503 nt
Filed under: uncultured bacterium
Lineage: Bacteria
Description: partial 16S ribosomal RNA
Rfam family: Bacterial small subunit ribosomal RNA
Source: RNAcentral
ACUCAAAGGAAUUGACGGGGGCCCGCACAAGCGGUGGAGCAUGCGGUUUAAUUCGAUGCAACGCGAAAAACCUUACCAACCCUUGACAUGUCUGUCGCGGAUGUUAGAGAUAACGUCUUUCAGUUCGGCUGGACAGAACACAGGUGUUGCAUGGCUGUCGUCAGCUCGUGUCGUGAGAUGUUGGGUUAAGUCCCGCAACGAGCGCAACCCUCAUCCUUAGUUGCCAGCAAGUAAAGUUGGGGACUCUAAGGAAACUGCCGGUGAUAAGCCGGAGGAAGGUGGGGACGACGUCAAGUCAUCAUGGCCCUUACGGGUUGGGCUACACGCGUGCUACAAUGGCGGUUACAGAGGGAAGCUAGAGAGCGAUCUUAUGCAAAUCCUUUAAAAACCGUCUCAGUUCGGAUUGCACUCUGCAACUCGAGUGCAUGAAGUUGGAAUCGCUAGUAAUCGCGGAUCAGCAUGCCGCGGUGAAUACGUUCACGGGCCUUGUACACACCGCCCGU